UCCAUGCUCAUGAGAAAUGGCAAGAAAUUAGACACAGUGAAAAAUGCAAAGACAUCAAGCCAUGCCUUUAUAAAGCAGGAAGUUCCUGUGUGUGUGUUUGUGACUGAUCUGCAGUGACUUACAGCUCAGAGCACUGAGAGCCUCAACAGAGAACUGAACUGAUCUGAUUGAACAUGGACAGAUGCUUCAUACUGAUUCUCAUUGUGGGAACAGGUUUGGUGACUGGAGACAGUAUUGAGCCAGAUAAAGGGACAGAACAAACUUCUAAAGAAACAGAAACUGUCAAGCUGAGCUGUUCAUAUAGUGCAAACAGUGAAUAUGUUUAUCUGUACUGGUACAGACAGCAUCCCAACAGAGAACCAAAAUUCUUAUUAUAUAAAUAUGCACCGUCAUUGGGUGAUUAUGAAGACACCUCUAAUGAUCGGUUUCAUUCAGCUACAACACGUACAUCCACUGAACUCACUAUUACUGAUGUACGUCUGUCAGAUUCAGCUCUCUAUUAUUGUGCUCUAAGAGUAGCAGCCCAGUGAUACAAAACAUGAAGAAUGUUGUACAAAAACCUGAAGCUCUUUUCAUUUUUAAAAUAUCUAGUGAAAACCACAAUCAAAACCACAAUCUAUCCAGC
Cyprinus carpio (common carp) is the source of this 625-nucleotide non-coding RNA. The record is from the annotation of a RefSeq genome assembly. NCBI's taxonomy places the organism in Eukaryota, Metazoa, Chordata, Actinopteri, Cypriniformes, Cyprinidae.